ACUGGAAACGGUGAGUAAUACCUUAUACGCCCUUCGGGGGAAAGAUUUAUCGGAUUUGGAUUAGCCCGCGUUAGAUUAGAUAGUUGGUGGGGUAAUGGCCUACCAAGUCUACGAUCUAUAGCUGGUUUUAGAGGAUGAUCAGCAACACUGGGACUGAGACACGGCCCAGACUCCUACGGGAGGCAGCAGUGGGGAAUCUUGGACAAUGGGCGCAAGCCUGAUCCAGCCAUGCCGCGUGAGUGAUGAAGGCCUUAGGGUCGUAAAGCUCUUUCGCCAGGGAUGAUAAUGACAGUACCUGGUAAAGAAACCCCGGCUAACUCCGUGCCAGCAGCCGCGGUAAUACGGAGGGGGUUAGCGUUGUUCGGAAUUACUGGGCGUAAAGCGUACGU
RNAcentral lists this ribosomal RNA (389 nucleotides) under Litorisediminivivens gilvus. RNAcentral describes it as "bacterial SSU rRNA". It matches the Rfam family "Bacterial small subunit ribosomal RNA", at positions 149 to 572 of the family's 1533-position model. Lineage: Bacteria; Pseudomonadati; Pseudomonadota; Alphaproteobacteria; Rhodobacterales; Paracoccaceae. The record is from RNAcentral.